RNAcentral lists this long non-coding RNA (8168 nucleotides) under Eucalyptus grandis. Its description in RNAcentral is "long non-coding RNA (EGRA_LNC001367)". Lineage: Eukaryota; Viridiplantae; Streptophyta; Magnoliopsida; Myrtales; Myrtaceae. The record is from RNAcentral.
UUUUGUAUUAUAUGUAAACAGAUUACAAUCAAUGAAUUGAGGCAUACAAUUUUUCCUCUCCAAAUUCUUCCCUACACUCUUCCUUCUUUUUUUCACCUAGUCUCGUGACAUGGUAUCAGAGCCUCCCUUGAGGUUAUGAAUUAACUAUCGCUUCUGCUUUGAUUGCCUCACGUGGAACUCCAAUCUGCAAAAGAGAGUUGCCAUAGGAAUCAUUAUUUCUGAAAGGGAAGAAAUUCUUCAUCAUGCCUAAAGCACAAGAUCUAACCUCGACUUCAAACAACCAGCUUGCAGGAGAAGCUACGCCACAAACAUUAGGCAACCAAGACUUGUCUGCUGUGACAUCUGCCUCUGAACAACAACUCAGCCAGGCCUAGGCACAAGUACAGGCCCAAUACACAUAGUGGCAACCAUUCCAGGCUCAAUUCAAAUUUGGGGCAGCCCUUCUUGGGCCAUACUUACUAGUGGAUACCAUAUCCAUGGUUCCAUGGGCCAGGCCCAAAUACAUCACUGCCAGGAGGCUACCAGAGCAACGUUGGGAUCAAUGGAGGCCCAUCAACUAGCGAGGGGGCAAGCCCAACCAUCGACCCAGAGCAGACGGGCGGGUCAACUGGACCGAGUAUGGGAACGAAUCCCUACCCGACUUUUCUCAAUGCGGGUCAUGCGGGUUAGGGAACUGGACCGAGUGGUUUGGGUGUGGGAGGAAAUCCCUACCUGAAUCUCGGACCUGGAAUUUUUCCGGUACCAGAUGUUCGCUACUGACAGCCGGACAGAGCUCGGCGACCCACUUCACACAACAAACGCUGACGGACCAGAAUUAAAGCUCAUAAGCCAACAGUUGACCGGUGCCGACAACUCAAAUUGGUCGCGAGAAUUCCGGCGUGCGCUAGUAACAAAAGAUAAAGAGAGUUUUCUUGAUGGAAUGAUUCUGAUUCCGUCCGACAAGAGAAUGGCACGACUUUGGAAGAAAUGCAACCAACUGGUUAGAACAUGGAUAGGGAAUUGCAUCGCAUCCGAAGUCACAACCGGACUUCCUCCAACGAAGGAUUCAAAACAAAUGUGGGAGCAUAUUAAGGAGAUGUAUGGAAAACUUGAUCAAAUCAAGAUUUUUUCGUUAACACAGCAAAUCUCGGAGCUUAAACAGGGGAAUAUGACCAUCGCAGCCGUUAACAAUAAACUUUCGGCUUUGUGGAACGAGCUGGAAGCAGCCGAAGAGAAAUUCGACUGGAAAAACCCUAUUAUACAACAGUACAAAAGCAUGUGGGAAAGGGAAAAGGCGACGAGGUUCUUGCUUAUUCUAAACGAGACUUACCUCUUGUUUCGCUCCCAGAUCCUUACCAUGGAGCCCAUGCCAAGCCUCAGCCACAUCCACCAGCUUGCCAUCCAAGAAGAGAAUCAACAAAGGACCACGUACUACGGUAAAGGUGGAGACGGAAUGGUUCUGGUGGCGAGAAGCCAUGUCUGCCCUUUGCCAAGAAACGCAGGGGGCAGAGGAUAGAGAGGGGCACAAUUAGGGUUCACGAUCACUUCUGGUAGCAAGUGGAUCCGACGGCUCACACGGGAGCAACUUGACUGGAUCAAAUGGGCCGCGAGGAAGCAGCUUCUAUGGGCCGGAUGGCUCGCGUGGAUUUCUGGCUAGUGGAUCAGACGGCCCAUAUGGGCCAACUUUGGCCCAAGUCUUGCAGCCCACAAACAGGCCCUCCUUAGCCACAAGAAACAUUGCUUCCAAAGGAAAAGGUAAAAUGUAUUAUGACUAUUGUAAACGUCCACAUCAUACAAUAAAAAACUACUAGAAGUUGCAUGGCAAACCUAGAGAAAAAGAAAAAAAGGAAAUUUUCAAUAAUUUUUCAGGUAUCGGGGCAACCAACAGAUAAGACAAUAACCCAUGAUCAAUAUCAUGAGCUGAUGGAAGCCUUAAGGAAAUUGGAUGCUUCUGAUAAAACUGGAAGCUUCACAGGUAUAUCUUAUUGUCUGAUGAAUUCAACUUCAAAGAAUGCAUGGAUUAUUGAUUCAGGUGUUAGUGACCACAUCGUCUAUGAUAAGGGUUUUCUCUCUAAUAUCAAAAAAUUAUCUUUUCCCAUAUUAGUACAACUCCCAAAUGGGAACACCACCCAAGUUGAAAUGACUAGCAUUGUGAAUCUUAGUUCCCUCAUUACACUUCUAAAUGUGCUUUAUGUCCCUGAUUUCCACUUCAAUCUCAUGUCAGUAUCUCGAGUUUACGAAGAAAAUUCCUGCCACAUCUUAUUCAAUUAUGAUAAAUGUUUAUUCCAGGCCAUUUCGACUGGAAACUAAUGGGCUUGGGUAGAGUCUUUCAAGGACUAUAUUUCUGGAUGGAUUUUUCAAACAGUCUUCAAUUGUCUUCUAUUGAAUUCAAUAAAUCAUUGUGUAACACUACUAUCAAUGAUAAGAACUUCCUUAAUCAUCAAAGAUUGGGUCAUUUGCUUUGUUUCCCUGUCCUCAACGUCCUAUCUGCCCAUUAGCAAAAUAGACAAGUGCUCCUUUCCAAAAUAGCACUUCUCGAGUUGAUGAAAUUUUUUCAUUAAUCCAUGUUGAUGUUUGGGGGCCUUAUCACACUUUGAAUCAUGAUGGGUCUCGAUUUUUCCUCACAAUCAUAGAUGAUUUCUCAUGUGUGACAUGGAUUUUCCUAAUGCAAUCAAAAAGUCAAGUUCUUUCUCACCUAAGGACUUUUCUUGCCCUAUCAAAAAAUCAAUUUAGGAAAUCCAUUCAACGCAUUUGUAUUGAUAAUGGUAGAGAAUUCUUUAAUGGUGAAUGUGCUUCCUUUCUUUCCUUGAAUGGAAUUUUGCACGAGAGCUCCUGGCACAUAUACACCACAGCAAAAUGGAGUCGUUCAGCGAAAAACAUCGUCACCUCUUGGAAGUAGCACGUGCCCUUAAGUUUUAGGCAUUUAUUCCUGAAAAUUUUGAGGAGAUUGUGUGGUCACAGUAGCAUAUUUGAUCAAUCGCAUGCCAUCACGCAUUCUAAAAGGGAAAAGUCCCUUCAAGAUAUUGUAUGGAAGGAAACCAAAUCUGAGUCAUCUCAGAGUCUUUGGGUGUCUAUGCUAUGUAACUACAGUAGGGCACAUGAAUAAAAUGGGACCUCGUGCACGUCAAUGCAUAUUCAUGGGGUAUCCAAUUCUGAAAAAGAGAUAUCGGAUUUAUGAACCAUUCACAAGAGAAUUCUUUGUGAGCAAGGAUGUCGUUUUUCACGAAGACAUUUUCCCUUUUUGAGAUGUGAAUCAUUUACCUCAAGAUGAGAGGACAGCUAAUAAGCAAUUUCUAUCAGAAUAAGAUCUAUCUUCUAGAGGAUCCUAUUUUAUUAUUCCUCCUCCAAGACAUCAGAAAUCAUCUGCUGCAUCACCUCCAAUGUCUACUGAGACUUCUACGGAUCAUUCACUUGAAGAACCUUCAAUAGAAAGGGAUUCUCAGAUGACCGCUCCUCCAGAAUCAAGCAAUACUGAAGAAUCAUCUUUGAUGGAACAUGAAGAACCUCGGCGAUCUGGUCGAGUUGGUCGUCCACCAAUUUGGACAAAUGAUUAUAUAUGUGCUUCCUUGGGGUCAUUAGGUACUCGUUACCCUAUCUCGUCUUAUAUUUCAUUUGAUGGGCUAUCAUCAGAACAUUUAUGUUGCAUGAGUCAUAUCUCUGAGGAACAAGAGCUCUCUAGUUAUAAUGAAGCAAUGCAUGAUCCACAUUGGCAAAGGGCUAUGGAGGCAAAAUUACAAGCCCUAAUAGACAAUCAUACUUGGGAUAUCGUGCCAUUACCUACUCAUCGCAAACCAAUUGGGUGCAAGUGGGUAUAUAAGAUUAAAUAUAGAGCAAAUGGUUUUGUAGAGAGGUACAAAGCCCGGUUGGUGACCAAAGGCUUUACAUAGAGAGAAGAUUUUGACUACCACGAAACCUUUUACCCAGUAGCCAAAGAUGUCACAGUUCGUUCUUUUUUGUCGGUUGUUGCUUUUCGUGACCGGCCAUUACAUCAAAAGGAUGUCCAUAAUGCCUUCUUGCAUGGUGAUCUAGGCUAAGAAAUCUACACAGAUCUUCCACUAGGAUUACGGAGACAUGGGGAGUCUAAGGUAUGUCAUCUUCGCAAAUCUCUUUAUGGACUGAAACAAGCCUCUCGACAAUGGUAUGCCAAGUUUACUAAUGCUCUCACGGCUGUUGGAUUCAAACAAUUCAAAUAUGACUAUACUUUAUUCACUUGGAUGAAAGGUAUGUCAUCAUGUUGAUGACAUACUUAUCAUGGGAAAUGCUUAUUCUGCUGUGAAGAAACUAAAAGAGUAUCUACAUUCCACUUUUCAUAUUAAAGAUUUAGGCUCGCCUAAGUAUUUUCUUGGAAUUGAGAUAGCUCGUUCGAAUCAGGGAAUCUCACUCAGCCAGCAGAAAUUCGUAAUGGAGAUUAUAUCAGAAGCAGGACUGUCAGGUUGCAAACCGGCCAUUAUUCCUACCGAGCAGAAUGCCAAGCUGACUUCUGUUAACUAUGAUAUUGGCAUAUAUUCUUCUUCUGAUAAUCCGUUAUUAAAAGAUCUAUCGGGAUAUCAGAGACUCGUAGGGAAACUUAUAUAUCUUACCAUGACUAGGCCAAACAUAUGUUAUGCAGUAUAGACUCUUAGUCAAUUCAUGCACAGUCCAAAACAAUCUCAUAUGAAUGCAGCCUUGAAGAUUGUGAGAUAUUUGAAGACAUGUCCAGGCUUAGGGAUACUUCUUUCUCGGAAAUGCAACAUGGAAAUGACGGCCUAUUGCGAUGCGGAUUAUGCUACAUGUCCUAUGAGCAGGAGAUCUAUCACAGGCUUCUGUAUCAAAUUUGGGGAAUCAUUACUUUCAUGGAAGACAAAGAAGCACUCUACUGUGUCCUUAUCUUUAGUUGAAGCCACAUAUCGAUCUAUGGCCAAAAUUGUUUGUAAAAUAGUUUGGUUAAAGGGGUUUGCUUACGGAUCUCGGGGCACAAGUUAAGGGACCGACUACACUCUUUUGUGACAAUGAUUCAACACUGAAACUUGCAGCAAAUCCUAUAGUUCAUGAGAGGACGAAACACAUAGAGGUCGAUUGUCAUUUUACUCGAGAGAAGAUUCAAGAAGGAGUUAUUGAGACAAGAGGGAUCGGAACCAUGGAGCAACCUACGGACAUAUUCACUAAACCUCUCUGUCAAAGACAACAUGUGUCACACCCCGAUCCUCAGGCACGCGCACAUCCCUUACCUUUGGUCGAUUUUAAAAAUGCAAUAUCCCAAGACUACGUAUCGCCGACCCUUUCUUUUUAAUAGCACAUGCGGAAGCAGUUAUAAAUCCCCAGACAAUAACGUAAUGGGAUAGAAAAGUAGGGCCAUAUUUCCAUACUGAAAUUCAUGACCACACUUUUAUACAGGCGCCUCAAAUUUAUAUAAUGCAUUACUAUUCACGGGGUUUUGAUCUAACACUUAACCACAUAAAAUCAAGGUCUGACAAGACAGGAUGGGAUCUCAGUCCUCAUCCGGAUCGUACUCAGGAUCUUCCUCGUGGUCAUCUUCUUCUCCAAAAUCUUCUUUCUCAUACGGUUCCCCAUCAAGGUUCUCCUCUUCAGAUUCCUCCUCCUCAGGCUCCUCAUCAGAGUUCUGAAAUGGUUAUCCAAUAACCAUUGAGACCACGUCUCAGCAAGUUCUACCCCUUAAGACUCGAUUAGUAAACUAAUACGCUAACCGGGCUACCUAUGCACGCACAGGUCAGAGGACUUACCUUGGCCUCAGAUUCCACCUGCAUAUUAGUACAGUUUAAUAGGCACACAAGUAAUCACAUCACUGAUCGAAGCAUCGAUCAAAUUGAUCUAGUCGAUUACAUGUUAAUCAGACCAUCUCACGGUCAUUUUCAAUCAAUCGGUCAAUUUACAACAUCAGAUCAAUGCAAUGAUCAAUCGACCUAGUCGAUUAUAUGUCAUCUCGACCCUUUCUUGGUCGGCUCAUCUCAUACUAUCUAUAAGUCCGUUCAUAUCAAGAUUGCUCGCUCUAUGCGGAUAAACAGACGGUAUAGCUCGCACUAAGCUGAUAGAGUUAAGGUAUACUGUUCUCGCUAAGCUGACAUAUAGCCCGUAGGCUGAUAUAGUAUACCGGUAUACUGCUCUCGCUAAGCUGACAUAUCGCCCGUAGGCUGAUAUAGUAUACCCCCAAUGCUCACUCUAAACUAAUAAAGUGUACUACUCGUGCUAAGCUGACAUAUCGCCCAUAGGCUAAUAUAGUACACUAGUAUACUGCACUCGCUAAGCUGACAUAUCAGAGCCCGUAGGAUGAUAUAGUAUACUAUCCAACCAUUCAAUCCAUUCCAUCUUUUAUCAUUCUCGAUAAAAUAGUCGUGUGUGGGGGACACGGUCGGCCUUAGCCAAAAUAUAAUAUUUUCUUUUCCAUAACUCCCACAUUUUCUGUAGUCCACUCAAAUAUUUUUGGCAUUAUCAACCGAUGCCCGGUUAUUUUUCAAUUAAUAAUCAAUGAUUAUUCAAUUAAAGAAUAAUUCACAAUUUCACAAAUAAUUCAAUUCAGCACAAAAUAAAGCUCAAUUAAAUAAACGGACUACGCCACGACAAUCAACAUAAAAUUCUGGUCGUCGGCUAUUCCUGCUUAAUUUCCAGAAAAUAAAUAAAUAAUUAAAUUAAUUUCGAAAAUUAAUAAAUAAAAGCAAUAAAUCCAAUUUAUGCCCGUAAUGCCGAAUUGGAAGCGGAGAUGAGCUCGAAAAAUUACCGAGACUCGUUCAAUAAAUAACAUAGCAUAUCUACUUGCUAAGUACACUAACCAUUCUCUUAACAUGCAUAGGUAAAUCCCUAAUUUAAUUAUUCCAACAUAAUCUAACCACCUAAUUGCACUUAAUUAAAUCUAAUCAACCCUUAAGCAUAAUUAGCAAACUAAGAAAGCAUUAGUGAGUAAAACUCACUUGAUUAAAAGCGGGGACCGGGACACCGCAACGGCGACGCGACGGCGGCCGAAUUCCAAACUUUUGGCGGCGUCGACGAUCACUCGGACCGGGUCCAAAGGCCUUGCCUCACGGGCUUGGGCUUCAAAAGAACUUGCUGGACUUCACUGGAUUAUGGGCUGAACUGCAGCUUCAAACUGGGCUGAAUCAAGACUGAACAUGGGCUUCAAAUAGACUUAGAAUGGACUGUUUGGCUUGGGCCGAACGUGCAGGCUUUGCUGGCCAACUGCUGCUCGUGUGGGCUUCAAAGAGCAGGGCCGAACAGCUAUUGAAUUUCACGUGGGUUGCUGGCGUUGAUGGGCUUCAAAUACUGAAGUGAAUUUGUGGGCCUGGUCUUCGAAUGGCCCAGAUGCACGGACUGGGCUGCUUGACUGACCUUCACGGGCCGAACAAGAGAAGCAGAAAAAGGGGAAAGCAGCUGCUGACGUUGGGUUCGGUGGAGAGAAGAACCGGUGGAGCGUCGAACGUGAAGAAGUUGCUGACUUCGACGGCAGCCCACGGAGGACUUGGCUCGGUGGUUGAUGGACGGAGAGAAGAGACGAUGAGGCUUCAUCCGUUUCUGCUCAACGUCGCUGGACAGAGGGCAAGCGAGAAACGGUGACACAAAAAUGGAGAAAUCAACAUUGUGGGAUGCUGCUAGGCCAUCCCGGUGGUGCCGCACGUGAGACAGAGAGGACGAUCGGUGGGUUUGCUGGUUUCGUUGAUUCCGUUGAAGAUGGAAGGCGUCCGCUGGCAGCUUCGGUCAACCACAUCUCACCGGAGAAGAAGCUUGACUGAAGGGAGGUCCUUCAUGGACAUGUGGCAGCAACCGUGGAGAUUCGUGGUCUUCAGCUGAGGAAAUUCUGACCGAAGAAGACACAAGCAGAGGAGAUUGAAAGUGGAGCAAGCUUCGGUGGAGAGAGGGCACUACUCGGUUGACUGUUGGACGAAAGAGGAUGGAACGGUGGGGAGAAUCGGAGGGCUGAGGGAGCAUGAUGGUGUCGUUGGAUGAUGGUGGACGGUGAUGAUGAUGAUGCGGUUUGAAGCCGUGGCAACUGUGGAGACGGCAGCAGGGAAAUCGGUGGCUUCGGUGGUGUUGAAAAUGCUGAAGACAGACCGAAGGAAACCAAAUGAAAGGCAGAAGUAAAAUGGUUCUUCGGCUGAGGUAGGGAUCGAGCGAGGAGGAGAAGAUCGGCAAAAGCUGGUCCGAGAAGUUGGAUGAGAGAGAGACAAAAGUCCACAAGCUUAUCCUAUAUCACUAAUGCUUGG